RNAcentral lists this ribosomal RNA (532 nucleotides) under uncultured bacterium. RNAcentral's name for it is "bacterial SSU rRNA". It matches the Rfam family "Bacterial small subunit ribosomal RNA", at positions 777 to 1306 of the family's 1533-position model. The record is from RNAcentral.
AAUAGAUACCCGGGUAGUCCACGCCGUAAACGAUGAGUGCUAAGUGUUAGAGGGUUUCCGCCCUUUAGUGCUGCAGCAAACGCAUUAAGCACUCCGCCUGGGGAGUACGGCCGCAAGGCUGAAACUCAAAGGAAUUGACGGGGGCCCGCACAAGCGGUGGAGCAUGUGGUUUAAUUCGAAGCAACGCGAAGAACCUUACCAGGUCUUGACAUCUCCUGACAACCCUAGAGAUAGGGCGUUCCCCUUCGGGGGACAGGAUGACAGGUGGUGCAUGGUUGUCGUCAGCUCGUGUCGUGAGAUGUUGGGUUAAGUCCCGCAACGAGCGCAACCCUUGAUCUUAGUUGCCAGCAUUCAGUUGGGCACUCUAAGGUGACUGCCGGUGACAAACCGGAGGAAGGUGGGGAUGACGUCAAAUCAUCAUGCCCCUUAUGACCUGGGCUACACACGUGCUACAAUGGAUGGUACAAAGGGCUAGCAAGACCGCGAGGUUAAGCGAAUCCCAUAAAACCAUUCUCAGUUCGGAUUGCAGGCU